UACGGAGGGUGCGAGCGUUGUCCGGAAUCACUGGGCGUAAAGGGCGCGUAGGCGGCGCGAGCAGUCGGCGGUGAAAGCCCGGAGCUCAACUCCGGGUCGGCCGUCGAUACUCUCGUGCUUGAGCACUGUAGAGGCAGGUGGAAUUCCGGGUGUAGCGGUGGAAUGCGCAGAUAUCAGGAGGAACACCGGUGGCGAAGGCGGGUCUCUGGGCAGUAACUGACGCUGAGGAGCGAAAGCGUGGGGAGCGAACAGG
Molecule: ribosomal RNA, 253 nt
Filed under: uncultured bacterium
Lineage: Bacteria
Description: partial 16S ribosomal RNA
Rfam family: Bacterial small subunit ribosomal RNA
Source: RNAcentral